UUAGAGUUUGAUCCUGGCUCAGGAUGAACGCUAGCGACAGGCUUAACACAUGCAAGUCGAGGGGCAGCAUUGUAAUUAGCUUGCUAAUUACAGAUGGCGACCGGCGCACGGGUGAGUAACGCGUAUGGAACCUGCCCUUUACAGGGGGAUAGCCCAUGGAAACGUGGAUUAAAAUCCCAUAAUACUUUGUUCAGGCAUCUGAAUGGAGUUAAAUCUACGGAGGUAAAGGAUGGCCAUGCGUCCUAUUAGUUAGUUGGCGGGGUAACGGCCCACCAAGGCGAUGAUAGGUAGGGGUUCUGAGAGGAAGGUCCCCCACAUUGGAACUGAGACACGGUCCAAACUCCUACGGGAGGCAGCAGUGAGGAAUAUUGGUCAAUGGCCGGAAGGCUGAACCAGCCAAGUCGCGUGAGGGAAGACUGCCCCAUGGGUUGUAAACCUCUUUUAUUCGGGAAGAAUAAGUUUCACGCGUGGAACGAUGCCUGUACCGAAUGAAUAAGCAUCGGCUAACUCCGUGCCAGCAGCCGCGGUAAUACGGAGGAUGCGAGCGUUAUCCGGAUUUAUUGGGUUUAAAGGGUGCGUAGGCGGUUGAUUAAGUUAGUGGUAAAAUGUCAUGGCUAAACCUUGGCCUGCCAUUAAUACUGGUCAGCUUGAGUACAGACGAGGUAGGCGGAAUAAGUUAAGUAGCGGUGAAAUGCUUAGAUAUAACUUAGAACUCCGAUAGCGAAGGCAGCUUACCAGACUGUUACUGACGCUGAAGCACGAGAGCGUGGGUAGCGAACAGGAUUAGAUACCCUGGUAGUCCACACUGUAAACGAUGAUGACUAACCGUCGGCGAUACACAGUCCGGGGGCCAAGCGAAAGCGAUAAGUCAUCCCACUUGGGGAGUACGACCGCAAGGUUGAAACUCAAAGGAAUUGACGGGGGCCCGCACAAGCGGAGGAACAUGUGGUUUAAUUCGAUGAUACGCGAGGAACCUUACCCGGGCUCGAACGGCAGAUGGAUUGAGUAGAGAUAUUCAAGUCUUCGGACAUCUGUCGAGGUGCUGCAUGGUUGUCGUCAGCUCGUGCUGUGAAGUGUCGGCUUAAGUGCCAUAACGAGCGCAACCCUUGCCGUUAGUUGCCAUCAGGUUAAGCUGGGGACUCUAGCGGGACUGCCACCGCAAGGUGUGAGGAAGGGGGGGAUGACGUCAAAUCAGCACGGCCCUUUCGUCCGGGGCGACACACGUGUUACAAUGGCGAGUACAGAGGGAAGCUACCUGGCGACAGGAUGCAGAUCUCGAAAGCUCGUCCCAGUUCGGAUUGGAGUCUGCAACCCGACUCCAUGAAGUUGGAUUCGCUAGUAAUCGCGCAUCAGCCAUGGCGCGGUGAAUACGUUCCCGGGCCUUGCACUCACCGCCCGUCAAG
Molecule: ribosomal RNA, 1403 nt
Filed under: uncultured bacterium
Lineage: Bacteria
Description: bacterial SSU rRNA
Rfam family: Bacterial small subunit ribosomal RNA
Source: RNAcentral